This is a non-coding RNA of Paramuricea clavata, 247 nucleotides long. The record is from the annotation of a GenBank genome assembly. Lineage: Eukaryota; Metazoa; Cnidaria; Anthozoa; Malacalcyonacea; Plexauridae.
CAGGGUGUAUAAAAAAAAGGUAAUCGAACUUCAGCGCGCUAUUAUACGUGAAUUACUCGGCGUAUGAACAAUUGGUUUUCAUAUUCGGAAAGAUCAGGCUUUUAGCUAUUGAAUGACAUGCCUUUCAUGCCAAGUGGAGAAAAAAUAAGCAUGUACGAGGCCGAUUAAAAAUGUUAGUCAAAAUCGCAUAUUUUCACCUCUGUGCCUAAUUGAAACAAUGCAUAACAAAAGAAAAAGCAAUUAAUCA